Cyprinus carpio (common carp) is the source of this 765-nucleotide long non-coding RNA. Lineage: Eukaryota; Metazoa; Chordata; Actinopteri; Cypriniformes; Cyprinidae. The record is from Ensembl.
AUGAUUUCAAACAUGUUAAAAGUAAUUAAUUUUACUCGACAAAAUAUUAUCUGGGUGUUUUUCAAAAACCGCGCGCAUUUUUCAGUCAGUCGCGUCCACACUCUGCUCAUCCCCCGCGGGACCGCGCUCACUCGCUCACUCACACUGAUCACAGCAGGACUACAGGCGACGCGGUCACGGAAAAUAACAGCCGGACACAGACAAACGAGUCCCGCAAAGUGUAUUUUUAAACUAAGGUUAGAGAGACGGCUGACAGUAUCUUCGUCAUCUCUAACCGUCACUCCCGCCACAGAUCUGAAGCGAGGAACAAUAUCAGUCAUUCAAGCUAUGAUCCUGGCAGAUCUACUAUCUGAAAAAAGACUCAGCAGAUUUUUUUCAAGACACACAAGGUAGGACACAGUUCAGAACUUUAUAUUUACUUGGCAACAUUUUUCUGAGAUCAGCAGAAAUUACUGAAUAGUUGAUCUAGGGAUGUUCAUUUUAACCGGUUAACCAUUAACCGACCGUUAAGAAUUUUGACAGAUUAAAACAAUCAGUUAAACGGUUUAAAAAGUCAUUUAUUUAUUUUCAGUAAUUUAUCAAAAUAUUUAAAAAGGUUUGCUGCAUGGUUAAAAUAUGCUACGCGUAUACAUGUUUUUAGUUUUUUAGAGAAAAAAAAACACAAGUCCCAUUUUAUUAUUUAAUUCAGAAAUAGGUCUGAUGCCGACACGAAAUGUUUAAAAUCAUUAUAAUAAACUGUAAACAUAGCUAGGCUAUUUUAGUUCC